CGCUGACAGAAUGCUUUACCACAUGCAAGUCAACUUUGAACUUCGGUUUGGGUGGCGGACGGGUGAGUAACGCGUAAAGAACUUGCCUCACAGUUAGGGACAACAUUUGGAAACGAAUGCUAAUACCUGAUAUUAUGAUUUUAGGACAUCCUAGAAUUAUGAAAGCUAUAUGCGCUGUGAGAGAGCUUUGCGUCCCAUUAGCUAGUUGGAGAGGUAACGGCUCACCAAGGCGAUGAUGGGUAGCCGGCCUGAGAGGGUGAUCGGCCACAAGGGGACUGAGACACGGCCCUUACUCCUACGGGAGGCAGCAGUGGGGAAUAUUGGACAAUGGACCAAGAGUCUGAUCCAGCAAUUCUGUGUGCACGAUGAAGUUUUUCGGAAUGUAAAGUGCUUUCAGUUGGGAAGAAAAAAAUGACGGUACCAACAGAAGAAGGACGGCU
Molecule: ribosomal RNA, 440 nt
Filed under: Fusobacterium periodonticum
Lineage: Bacteria; Fusobacteriati; Fusobacteriota; Fusobacteriia; Fusobacteriales; Fusobacteriaceae
Description: bacterial SSU rRNA
Rfam family: Bacterial small subunit ribosomal RNA
Source: RNAcentral